CGGCACACACUAGGGUCUCCGUCUCUCACACACACACACCACAAUGACGUCGUAAACAAUAGCACUAACCACCAUCGUCCGCAGCUCCCGCGUACAGAGGCCUCAGGCUCCCGGCUCCACGUGGACCGACCUCGCCCGGCAGCGCGGGGCCACCUCACCGCGAGCUCCUCCCGCAGCCCGGCCCGGGUCACCUCGACUCGCCAGGCUUAACUCAAUAACCACAACACCGGAAAAGGAAGCAAAGGUCGAAGUUCAUCCGCGGCCCUGAGGCCUGUGGGAAACGUAGUCCAACAACGAAAGAGCCCUGAAGCUCAAGCGGAGCCCGCUGGCCGCAGGGGCCGCACCACGCCCCAGACCCUGGAGUUUCCGGGUGCGCAGACCCUUGCCAUCAGCAGAGGCUGCCGCUGCGCGUCCCCUAGGCGCGGAAGAGGCGGCUGGUGGUCCCUGACGGCAAGGUGAAGUCGAGGCAGUAAUCGGGAACCCAGGUUUUAUACAUUACGAAUAAAGCUGGCACGUUUCCAUUUCUCCUGGGCAAAUAUUUAGAAGAAAAGUUGCUGGGUAAUUGGUGGAGACAAGGUUUCGCCACAUUGACUGGGCUGGUCUGGAACUCCUGAGCUCAAGCAACCGGCCCUCCUUGACCUCCCAAAGUGCUAGGAUUACAGAAGCACUGAGACCACAGAGGCAAGAGCUGGGGAAGGAAAACUGCCCAUGAGAUGAGAUGUGCCUCUCAGCUUCCAAAAUCGGGGAGAUGCCCCCCAUGGAAUCCAGCCAUCAUGCUGUGAGGAAUCCAAGCAGCUACAUAGAAAGGCCACAACUAGAUAUUCCAGCUGUAGUCAGCUGAAGCUCCAGCCAACAGCCAACAUCAACCACCACACGUGAAAACGAGCAAGCCUUCAGAUGAUUCCGACUCCCAACCUCCAAGCCACCUCAGCUGAAGCCAAGUAGAGCAGAGACUAGCUGUCCCCCAAUGCUCUAAUAUGCAGAUUCAUAAUUAAAAAGAAUGUUAUUGUUCUA
Molecule: long non-coding RNA, 1014 nt
Filed under: Homo sapiens (human)
Lineage: Eukaryota; Metazoa; Chordata; Mammalia; Primates; Hominidae
Description: HSALNT0397742
Source: RNAcentral